RNAcentral lists this ribosomal RNA (425 nucleotides) under uncultured bacterium. RNAcentral's name for it is "partial 16S ribosomal RNA". It matches the Rfam family "Bacterial small subunit ribosomal RNA", at positions 354 to 796 of the family's 1533-position model. The record is from RNAcentral.
GUGAGGAAUUUUCCGCAAUGGGCGAAAGCCUGAUCCAGCCAUGCCGCGUGAACGAUGAAGGACUUCGGGUUGUAAAGUUCUUUAGCCGAUGAUUAUAAUGACUGUAGUCGGAAAAUAAGCCCCGGCUAACUUCGUGCCAGCAGCCGCGGUAAUACGAAGGGGGCGAGCGUUAUUCGGAAUCACUGGGCGUAAAGCGUGCGUAGGCGGUUUUGUAAGUUAGGAGUGAAAGCCCAGGGCUCAACCUUGGAAUUGCUCUUAAAACUGCAAGGCUCGAAUCUCGGAGAGGAUAGCGGAAUUUCCAGUGUAUCAGUGAAAUGCGUAGAUAUUGGAAGGAACACCAGUGGCGUAAGCGGCUAUCUGGACGAGUAUUGACGCUGAGGCACGAAAGCGUGGGGAUCAAACAGGAUUAGAUACCCGGGUAGUCC